UUUACAACUCCCAAACCCAAUGUUAACCUUACCAAACUGUUGCCUCUACGGGAUCUCUGCCCCGGGUGCGUCGCAGCCCCGGACCAAGGCGCCCGCCGGAGGACCAACCAAAACUCUUUUUGUAUACCCCCUCGCGGGUUUUUUAUAAUCUGAGCCUUCUCGGCGCCUCUCGUAGGCGUUUCGAAAAUGAAUCAAAACUUUCAACAACGGAUCUCUUGGUUCUGGCAUCGAUGAAGAACGCAGCGAAAUGCGAUAAGUAAUGUGAAUUGCAGAAUUCAGUGAAUCAUCGAAUCUUUGAACGCACAUUGCGCCCGCCAGUAUUCUGGCGGGCAUGCCUGUCCGAGCGUCAUUUCAACCCUCGAACCCCUCCGGGGGGUCGGCGUUGGGGAUCGGCCCUCCCUUAGCGGGUGGCCGUCUCCAAAAUACAGUGGCGGUCUCGCCGCAGCCUCUCCUGCGCAGUAUUUUGCACACUCGCAUCGGGAGCGCGGCGCGUCCACAGCCGUUAAACACCCAACUUCUGAAAUGUUGACCUCGAAUCAGGUAGGAAUCCCCGUUUAACUUAAGCAUAUCAAUUAAGCCGGAGGGAAAAAAACAAAAGGGGGAUCCCCCCUUACCGGGGAGGUUGUGUUAUAUUUUCUUCUGCUAAUUUGUUUUCUGGUGUAUUUUUUUGUUAUCUGUUUGGUAUGCAUUAUUGUAUUGUGACUCUAUGUGUGGUAUGAUGAUUCAUAUAUGUUGGGUGUUAAACUAUCCUCACUGUUUGCGUUGUGAGAGGAAUAAAAUAGGUCAAAAGAGUCAAAAGUUGGCGAGGUUGCGUGUGAGGACGGAUUUGCUGUAAAAAGACUAACGGGUGCUUACCUCCGGACUCAGUCAGCUUAGGUGCCAUAGUUGAAAUAGUGUAAGAACUAUAUGUUGUUGGUUCUAUUAUCUUCUAAUGCUCCUUGAAGGCGGGGUGUGAAAACAUGUGUUUUUUUGGUUUAUUGAUUGAAUAGUGCCGAUAACAACAGAAGUUGUUGAAAGGAGCGAACACAUGCUAUCUAUAUCUUUCUCGUCUAAGUAUAAUUUAAGUUAUUAUGGAUUUUAACUGGUAAUGUAGGAUCUGAGAUUUGUGUUGUAUUGUUUUAUACGGUGGUUUUAUAUUCUAAUUGUUACUAUUUAAAUUUAUUUUGUGUGGCGGGGUGGAAACUUGUUUGCUGAUUAGUCUAAUGUAAUUUUCACUGUUAUGAUACAUAACAUUAUGCAUAUGUUUUAGUGACGUAGGUAACAGAAGAAGUUGGGUCUUAG
Molecule: unclassified non-coding RNA, 1281 nt
Filed under: Trichoderma harzianum
Lineage: Eukaryota; Fungi; Ascomycota; Sordariomycetes; Hypocreales; Hypocreaceae
Description: sequence contains 18S rRNA gene, ITS1, 5.8S rRNA gene, ITS2 and 28S rRNA gene
Rfam family: 5.8S ribosomal RNA (bases 196-349)
Source: RNAcentral